RNAcentral lists this ribosomal RNA (532 nucleotides) under marine sediment bacterium ISA-3071. Its description in RNAcentral is "bacterial SSU rRNA". It matches the Rfam family "Bacterial small subunit ribosomal RNA", at positions 13 to 526 of the family's 1533-position model. The record is from RNAcentral.
UUGGAAUCGGCUCAGGAUGAACGCUGGCGGCGUGCCUAAUACAUGCAAGUCGAGCGAACUGAUUAGAAGCUUGCUUCUAUGACGUUAGCGGCGGACGGGUGAGUAACACGUGGGCAACCUGCCUGUAAGACUGGGAUAACUUCGGGAAACCGAAGCUAAUACCGGAUAGGAUCUUCUCCUUCAUGGGAGAUGAUUGAAAGAUGGUUUCGGCUAUCACUUACAGAUGGGCCCGCGGUGCAUUAGCUAGUUGGUGAGGUAACGGCUCACCAAGGCAACGAUGCAUAGCCGACCUGAGAGGGUGAUCGGCCACACUGGGACUGAGACACGGCCCAGACUCCUACGGGAGGCAGCAGUAGGGAAUCUUCCGCAAUGGACGAAAGUCUGACGGAGCAACGCCGCGUGAGUGAUGAAGGCUUUCGGGUCGUAAAACUCUGUUGUUAGGGAAGAACAAGUACAAGAGUAACUGCUUGUACCUUGACGGUACCUAACCAGAAAGCCACGGCUAACUACGUGCCAGCAGCCGCGGUAAUAC